UUCAAUGAUUAUAGGGUUGUAUUAAUUUAUAUAUAUAAAAAAGGAAUCCAUGCAAAACAGAGGCUGGUACAGAUAGAUAAAUAUUACAUUUAAUGUAUCAGUUACAGAAGCUUCAUUGCUCUUUCUGAGAUACUGAUGAGUGAAUCAAAAUCAAACCACAAUGACCAUUGAAACACAGCUGGUGUAACUGUGUGGGGGGGGGGGUUGGGGGUUCUUUUGUGGGGUCCUCCAUUUCUCCCCUUUGCUAUAUCUUCUGUAAAAUGACAGCCUAAUCAACAGCCUGUAAAGAGCUGUUUUGGAAACUUUGCACUAAAAAGCUCUACUUGAUUGUGUUUUCAUGGUGGCAUUGAGAUUAUCAUGUGCCCUUGAGGAAAGAAACAUAGCCUAAAUAAGAACUGAAAAUCAUGCUUUUUAUUAUCUGCAACUGAUAUAAGAAAUAAUAUCCCAAUUGGGUGCUCAUUUUCUGCAAAUUAUUCCGUGGCCACCGCUUGAUCCUCCAGUACAAUCUAAAGUCCCAUAAUCCAUGACUAGGGGGUCUGAUUCUUCAGAAACUCCAGCUGGAGAGAAGAUACAGGAGUUACAUUUGGAAGACAAAAGGGUUGAAGUUCUGUACAUCUUUUCACCUCCCACUACAGGCACUGCAACACCUGGUUUUGCUGGAUUUUUGAAGUCUGGCUGGUACGUCCGGCCAAGAACGCCUUCAACCUUCGUUGAGAGGCCAUAGAAUCUGAACUGCACGUCCAGGUGAGCGAAGCAGUCAUCAGAAGUUCUUUCUACCUUGAUGCCGCUUUCAGAAGAUUCCCAUAUGGAUGGAUAUCCUUCUGUAAAACACAAUUCCAUCUCCACCAAUGAAGCGAGGAUCCAAGCAUGCUGCUCCGGGUUGAUUGCAAUUCGCCUUCCUGUCUACGCCCAAUCAUUUUAAGAAAGUGUGUACAGUACUUUAGUGUUAGCGAGAUAAAGUUCUAGCACAAGAAAGUCGAAGUUCAAACAUGAAACAGAAAAUGUUUAAGAACAUAGAGAAUCACUUACUUCUGCACUCAGGUUUGCACACCGGGGAAUUACAGUUGAUAUAGCAAACUUUAGCCUUCGAGUUACUUGGAGAUUUUGAUGGGCAUUCCGCAGGGCAAUAUAAUGGUUUCAGAAAGCAUUUGCUUUUCCGGUUGGUGCAGGUUAUUAGCUCUCCUCCAUUGACCUCUGUUAGACCAGCUAGGAAGAGUAUCA
Non-coding RNA from Solanum lycopersicum (tomato), 1221 nucleotides. The record is from RefSeq and is a predicted model, not a curated record. NCBI's taxonomy places the organism in Eukaryota, Viridiplantae, Streptophyta, Magnoliopsida, Solanales, Solanaceae.